RNAcentral lists this ribosomal RNA (440 nucleotides) under uncultured bacterium. Its description in RNAcentral is "partial 16S ribosomal RNA". It matches the Rfam family "Bacterial small subunit ribosomal RNA", at positions 338 to 795 of the family's 1533-position model. The record is from RNAcentral.
CCUACGGGUGGCAGCAGUGGGGAAUAUUGCACAAUGGGGGAAACCCUGAUGCAGCGACGCCGCGUGAGUGAAGAAGUAUCUCGGUACGUAAAGCUCUAUCAGCAGGGAAGAAAAUGACGGUACCUGACUAAGAAGCCUCGGCUAACUACGUGCCAGCAGCCGCGGUAAUACGUAGGGGGCAAGCGUUAUCCGGAUUUACUGGGUGUAAAGGGAGCGUAGACGGCAGCACAAGUCUGGAGUGAAAUCCCGGGGCUUAACCCCGGAACUGCUUUGGAAACUGUGCGGCUGGAGUGCAGGAGGGGUAAGCGGAAUGCCUAGUGUAGCGGUGAUAUGCGUAGAUAUUAGGAGGAACACCGGUGGCGAAGGCGGCUUACUGGACUGUAACUGACGUUGAGGCUCGAAAGCGUGGGGAUCGAACAGGAUUAGAUACCCCUGUAGUC